AAGGAACAUUUCACCACUACAUCGUGGUGUUGUGAAUUUUUAUUCUGGUAUCAUGCAAUGUAUAUCUCACUAGUAAGCCUAAGUGUGACCGGGUCAUGUUCGGGUCAGGUUCGUGUGGGAUUGUUUGGGGCUCGGUCCAGGAAUGUAGGCUCAUUGGCACCAGGCACAUCUGGUUUCCAUUAACAA
Molecule: long non-coding RNA, 186 nt
Organism: Syngnathus acus (greater pipefish)
Lineage: Eukaryota; Metazoa; Chordata; Actinopteri; Syngnathiformes; Syngnathidae
Exons: 3
Source: RefSeq, a predicted model, not a curated record